This 497-nucleotide ribosomal RNA is filed under the name uncultured bacterium. RNAcentral's name for it is "partial 16S ribosomal RNA". It matches the Rfam family "Bacterial small subunit ribosomal RNA", at positions 28 to 507 of the family's 1533-position model. The record is from RNAcentral.
GAUGAACGCUGGCGGCGUGCCUAAUACAUGCAAGUCGAGCGAACAGACGAGGAGCUUGCUCCUCUGACGUUAGCGGCGGACGGGUGAGUAACACGUGGAUAACCUACCUAUAAGACUGGGAUAACUUCGGGAAACCGGAGCUAAUACCGGAUAAUAUAUUGAACCGCAUGGUUCAAUAGUGAAAGACGGUUUUGCUGUCACUUAUAGAUGGAUCCGCGCCGCAUUAGCUAGUUGGUAAGGUAACGGCUGACAAAGGGAACGAUGCGUAGCCGACCUGAGCGGGUGGUCGGCCACCCUGGAAGUGAGGCACGGUACAGACUCCGACGGGAGGCCACAGUAGGGAAUCUUCCGCAAUGGGCGAAAGCCUGACGGAGCAACGCCGCGUGAGUGAUGAAGGUCUUAGGAUCGUAAAACUCUGUUAUUAGGGAAGAACAAAUGUGUAAGUAACUGUGCACAUCUUGACGGUACCUAAUCAGAAAGCCACGGCUAACUACGUG